GACGAACGCUGGCGGCGUGCCUAAUACAUGCAAGUGGGACGCAAGGAAACACACUGUGCUUGCACACCGUGUUUUCUUGAGUCGCGAACGGGUGAGUAACGCGUAGGUAACCUGCCUAUUAGCGGGGGAUAACUAUUGGAAACGAUAGCUAAUACCGCAUAAUAUUAAUUAUUGCAUGAUAAUUGAUUGAAAGAUGCAAGCGCAUCACUAGUAGAUGGACCUGCGUUGUAUUAGCUAGUUGGUAAGGUAAGAGCUUACCAAGGCGACGAUACAUAGCCGACCUGAGAGGGUGAUCAGCCACACUGGGACUGAGACACGGCCCAGACUCCUACGGGAGGCAGCAGUAGGGAAUCUUCGGCAAUGGACGAAAGUCUGACCGAGGAAAGCCGCGUGAGUGAAGAAGGGUGUCGGAUCGUAAAGCUCGGUUGUAAGUCAAGAACGUGUGUGAGAGUGGAAAGUUCACACAGUGACGGUAGCUUACCAGAAAGGGACGGCUAACUACGUG
This 505-nucleotide ribosomal RNA is filed under the name uncultured bacterium. RNAcentral describes it as "partial 16S ribosomal RNA". It matches the Rfam family "Bacterial small subunit ribosomal RNA", at positions 28 to 507 of the family's 1533-position model. The record is from RNAcentral.